This 1137-nucleotide ribosomal RNA is filed under the name Limosilactobacillus oris. RNAcentral describes it as "bacterial SSU rRNA". It matches the Rfam family "Bacterial small subunit ribosomal RNA", at positions 125 to 1248 of the family's 1533-position model. Lineage: Bacteria; Bacillati; Bacillota; Bacilli; Lactobacillales; Lactobacillaceae. The record is from RNAcentral.
CCUGCCCCAAAGCGGGGGAUAACAUUUGGAAACAGGUGCAUAAUACCGCAUAACUUGGAAAACCACAUGGUUUUCCAAUAAAAGAUGGUUUCGGCUAUCACUUUGGGAUGGGCCCGCGGUGCAUUAGCUAGUUGGUAAGGUAACGGCUUACCAAGGCGAUGAUGCAUAGCCGAGUUGAGAGACUGAUCGGCCACAAUGGAACUGAGACACGGUCCAUACUCCUACGGGAGGCAGCAGUAGGGAAUCUUCCACAAUGGGCGCAAGCCUGAUGGAGCAACACCGCGUGAGUGAAGAAGGGUUUCGGCUCGUAAAACUCUGUUGUUGGAGAAGAACGUGCGUAAGAGUAACUGUUUACGCAGUGACGGUAUCCAACCAGAAAGUCACGGCUAACUACGUGCCAGCAGCCGCGGUAAUACGUAGGUGGCAAGCGUUAUCCGGAUUUAUUGGGCGUAAAGCGAGCGCAGGCGGUUGUUUAGGUCUGAUGUGAAAGCCUUCGGCUUAACCGAAGAAGUGCAUCGGAAACCGGGCGACUUGAGUGCAGAAGAGGACAGUGGAACUCCAUGUGUAGCGGUGGAAUGCGUAGAUAUAUGGAAGAACACCAGUGGCGAAGGCGGCUGUCUGGUCUGCAACUGACGCUGAGGCUCGAAAGCAUGGGUAGCGAACAGGAUUAGAUACCCUGGUAGUCCAUGCCGUAAACGAUGAGUGCUAGGUGUUGGAGGGUUUCCGCCCUUCAGUGCCGAAGCUAACGCAUUAAGCACUCCGCCUGGGGAGUACGACCGCAAGGUUGAAACUCAAAGGAAUUGACGGGGGCCCGCACAAGCGGUGGAGCAUGUGGUUUAAUUCGAAGCUACGCGAAGAACCUUACCAGGUCUUGACAUCUUGCGCCAACCUCAGAGAUGAGGCGUUCCCUUCGGGGACGCAAAGACAGGUGGUGCAUGGUCGUCGUCAGCUCGUGUCGUGAGAUGUUGGGUUAAGUCCCGCAACGAGCGCAACCCUUGUUACUAGUUGCCAGCAUUCAGUUGGGCACUCUAGUGAGACUGCCGGUGACAAACCGGAGGAAGGUGGGGACGACGUCAGAUCAUCAUGCCCCUUAUGACCUGGGCUACACACGUGCUACAAUGGCCGGUACAACGAGCA